GCGCCUAUAGCUCAGUCGGAUAGAGCGAGUGGCUUCGAACCACUAGGCCGCAGGUUCGAUCCCUGCUAGGCGCA
RNAcentral lists this transfer RNA (74 nucleotides) under Candidatus Omnitrophota bacterium. RNAcentral describes it as "Candidatus Omnitrophica bacterium (groundwater metagenome) tRNA-Arg". It matches the Rfam family "tRNA". From Rfam's summary of the family: Transfer RNA (tRNA) molecules are approximately 80 nucleotides in length. Their secondary structure includes four short double-helical elements and three loops (D, anti-codon, and T loops). Lineage: Bacteria; Pseudomonadati; Candidatus Omnitrophota. The record is from RNAcentral.